This is a long non-coding RNA of Nothobranchius furzeri (turquoise killifish), 3748 nucleotides long. The record is from Ensembl. Lineage: Eukaryota; Metazoa; Chordata; Actinopteri; Cyprinodontiformes; Nothobranchiidae.
AUGGAACUCUUUGCCCGCACAUGUUAUGGGCCAUUCCCAUCUGUACCGGGUCGGCCCGGGCCGGGUAGCCCCAGUCGGCCCCAGCCUGGCCCGGUUGAUUCCACACAUCCUUGCCUUAAGCCCAUGAUUCUACCCACCAAUCAGAGGCUUGCUCUAAUGGAAGGUGUGAAUUUGCUGUCAGCAGUGGGUGUGUUGGCCCUGGUCGGCCUGAAGCAGACCCCCUCGAGAAGAGGGCUGAGAAUGAGCCUUGGUUGGCCCGGAAAAAUGCCAGGCCACCCAGAUAUGUAAACAACCUACGCUUCCCGGCCCGGGCCGACCCGGUACAGAUGGGAAUGGCCCAAUAGGGUAUGGUAUUAUAGGGUAUGUUAUGGUAUGGUAUGAUAUGGUAUUAGAGGGUAUGGUAUUGCAGGGUAUGGUAUGGUAUCAAGAGCAAACCUAAUCAAGAAGGUUUGUUCUUCUCAUCUACACACUCAUUAAAUACUGCAUUGUAAUGCAUUUUAGUAAUUAUGAACCUAGAAUGCUGCAAUAAAUCUGUUAUAAAUUAGAGACAUUUUAUUAAAUGUGUUUUACAUUUACAAUAACUAGUUCAGAGACAACCUCUUUAACUAAAAUAGGAAUUAAUCAGUGGAUGUUAACUAGACGGGCUGACUCAAGUUUAUGCAUUUCAAUUACAACCAAAACCCAAAAACAUCUAUUUCACUUUAAUGCCAAGACAUAUUUAGAUUUAGUGUGAUUUUAAGUUUAAACUGAGACCAAAAAUUUUUGAUCUGUGACCUAGAAACACUGAUAUUUCAGAAGCACAGCAAAAAAACAUUUAAUCUGAACAGCAACAACCUAAGAAAAGACUAAUUUCAAGGUUUUUGGAAGAAAAAUAUCUCCUGCAAGGCAGCAAAAGCUCCAACCAAAGGUGGGUUUCUUAUUAUAUCAGAGUUGAAUGAGAAACUCUGUAGCUAGGAAGAAAAUACUUCUGCCCUUGAAAAAUAAAUGUAUGAAUUAAAAAAUGUUACAGAUCACCUGAACAAUAAAAGGAAGCGCCAGUCAGAGCUACAGAAGAGUGGAACAUCUAGAAUCAGACAUCCUUGAACAAACAGAUAAAAGUUCUUGUCUCGAUGUGACAAAAAGAUCAGAACAAUGUGCUGCUCUGACUGAGGUAACUCGGAAGCAGCUGAACGAGUCAUCCACGACCAGAACGACAUCAUGUACAGAAGCUCUGGCGUCAGAUAGCUGAUGAAGAAGAGGAAGAAACUUGUCUUCUGAAUUCUCAGCUGAGUCGCUAAAACAGAGACGGCACCAAAAUAAUUCAAUAUCCACUGGAAGGAACUGUCUGCUGAAAGAACAGGAGCUAAAGCAGCAGAACGGUCUUUAGCCAAAAGUGUGUGAAAGCUUCAGAAAUACAUUUGUUCUGGAGCCAGCACAAAACUUCCUUAAACAUAAGAGUGGGACCAAGAAAAGUGUGUUAUGCUGAGUGAACGAGAAAUAUCAGGGAAGUUAGCGGCAGUGACCGAGGUCAAAGAGGACCUUUAAGUAGAGAGGCAGUCGGUUCCAGGCAGAGACCAGCCUCCAGAACGUCUCAUCUCUGCAGCAGUUUGUUGAGCGAAGCGAGGAGGUAAAAUGCUUUUUCAUGGACAACAAGAUCUGGAGCAACAAGUCAGACCAAGAAACCAAACUUUUCUUGAAAAGAUUUCUAAAGAUCUUUUAAAGAAUUAAAGGGAUACUUUUCAACUUUUUCAUAUUUUAAAUUAAUUUCUUGAGCCAGUUUGCGCUAAAACGACGCUUUACAGGGUUAAUGAAAGGCCACCCAGCCCCUAUCGCUGCCGGUGGCUAGAAUAUUCCACCUGAAAAUCAUACUGGUGGGCCGCUGCGUUAGGACUUAGAAAACAUUGAGCUGACAUACCUGGCGCUGCAGUCUGCUUUCAGCACGUUUCCUGCAUGUUUUAGAUCAUGAACACAGCUGAUUUGUUUAAUUUAAUGAUGAUCCACUCCUGUAGACACUAAUGAUGGCUGGGAAGACAUUUCAUCUCUUUGAUUAAGGUGUUAAAAAGAAACUGUGUGUGGAAAUACGUUUUGCUUUUGAGUUUACAAAUGGACACUAGGGGGUGCUAAAAGCAUGCCAGAACUGUCCAGUUCCCCUUCAAACAGACCCCAAUCAAAACAAUCUGAUCGCAACAGUUCCAAACCCCAAUCUGCUUAAUCCAGAACUGCAGACUCAGAAAAUUACCAUUUUCAGCUUCCCACCCACAAAAUAGAAAUUUUCAAGACAUUUUCAAGACCCCACAAAUCUUUGAUUCGACGAAAAAACGAUGUUCAAAUCGCUAAAUAAGUCAGCGCGUAAAGAAAAUGAUUCCAGCUCAUCCUUACCUAUAUCCAUUUGACCAUUUUGUUGAGUUUUUGUAAAAUUGUGCUUUAAAUGUAGAUUCAGAAAUCAUUUGUCAACCUUAUUGGGGUCCCAGCCCCAGCUUUGGGCCCUGCUGAGUAGACUAAUAACAUUUAUAAAGGGUAAACUCAACACUCACCAUCGUUGACACAUUUAGAUGCUCUCUGUUAUCAUUUGAACUCGCAAGUUCAAUGAAAUUUCACCCACCUCCGAAAAAUAACCUCUAAAAAGUUGUUAUCCACUCAAGCCAAGUUUGCAGAAAACCCAAAAAAGUUUUGAUUUACUGCCAAGAAAAACAUAAAUAUGUCUUCAUUUAAGAGAAAAUUAAAACAACCAGAACAAAAUCCACACAAGCGUUCUUCUCCAUUAUCCUAAAUUAUGGCGGAGGAAAUUCUGUUCAAGGAAGGUUUCCUUCAGGUGAGCACAUGGGCAAAAGAUUGCUCAUAUGCCAAACCUUUUUCACUGCAGCCAUUUUAAUUAGAAGGACUGGGCCAAAAACAGCUGUAACACCAAGGGCUGCAUUCCAUUUCUGCACCUGCAUGAGCCACUUGGCUCAGAAGAUGUUUUAAUUGAGAGUAUUUAAUGUAAAUGAGAUGCAUCAUCAUAAAUAGUUAACUAUCUGAAUUGCUGCAUGCGUGGAUGUUGUCCUACAGCAAACAAAGGAUUUAUUACCGUUUCACACCCUAAAAACGUGCAUUCUAUUAGAAAUUGUCCAGUUCAUUUUACAUGGAAACCACACCAUUCACAUGUUCAGGGAUUAUUUUUGUUCCAACAACUAUCACAAACACGUUCACUCAUUUCAUUUAUAUUUGUUAAAGAAAUUCCUAAUUUAAAUAGUAUUGCUACAAAAUCCCAAGUAAUUUAUAUUUAGCUUACUUUACUCUUUUCAAAAGGUUAACUCUAAAUUUCCCUCUGGGAUUAAUAAUCUUUGAAUUUGAAUUUGAAUAGAAUUUGAACUACAUUAAAAGGAAAUGACUUUGUGACUUUAGCUUGGCCCUCAGGCUCCAUCUGGCCCCUUAGGCUUCACCUGACUUAAACGAAAAAAAAUUUAUGCUAAUUGCCGCCUUUAUUUAAAAAGCUGCAUCCAUUUUUAGUACAUUUCCAAACAUGUGCAUGCAUUUACCGACACGUGCAUGUACUUUAACACCCAUUAAAUCAAAUCAAAUCAAAGAUACUUUAUUAAUCCCAGAGGGAAAUUGGAGUUUCAGUACACACAAUUCAGAGAUCAGACAUACAUGGGCAAGACACAUGACAACAAUUGGUGACUGUGGUCAUUCGCAACCCUGAGUCGCGCUACCUUAAUAGAGAUAAGAGGGUUACAUGAGGAUUGGUUCAGGUGGAGGGAAAAAAAGGCACUUCAGAGUUACCCUCCAC